GCCCGGAUGGCGGAAUUGGUAGACGCAAGGGACUUAAAAUCCCUCGCCGCAAGGCAUCCGGGUUCGACUCCCGGUCCGGGCACCA
This 85-nucleotide transfer RNA is filed under the name Nitrococcus sp. RNAcentral's name for it is "tRNA-Leu". It matches the Rfam family "tRNA". From Rfam's summary of the family: Transfer RNA (tRNA) molecules are approximately 80 nucleotides in length. The record is from RNAcentral. Lineage: Bacteria; Pseudomonadati; Pseudomonadota; Gammaproteobacteria; Chromatiales; Ectothiorhodospiraceae.